AAAUGCUCUGUAUCCAAAUGCCAGCUGAGAUCAUUAGCCACGCUGAAAUUCGUUGACUCGUACUGUGCUAAGGUUGCUGCUAGACGUUGUUAACAGAGUUAGUGGUCUUUGGUUAUGGUGGUUAGCAGCCCCACUUAUCUGUUCCAUACUACCAGUGAAUAGUUUAAAAUUCAUGUUGCACCUAUAAUUUAUCCCACAUAAAUAAUUCAGGCUAUUUAUUUUGGCAUUCAAUUGAUUUUUUUCUCACUUUAAAAAACUGAGGUAUGGAGACUGGUGCUAGCAACACGGGAUUGGCUAACGCAUCCUCUUGCUGUUCCCGGUGUUUGGGCCUUGCCUGUGACAGUGGGAAAAAAAAUGGCCUUGCUGUGCUACAACCGGAGCUGCGGUCAGCGCUUCGAUCCUGAGACCAAUUCCGACGAUGCUUGCACAUAUCACCCAGGCGUUCCAGUCUUUCACGAUGCAUUAAAGGGUUGGUCUUGCUGUAAGAGAAGAACAACUGAUUUUUCUGAUUUCUUAAGCAUUGUAGGCUGUACAAAAGGUAGACAUAAUAGUGAGAAGCCACCUGAGCCAGUCAAACCUGAGGUCAAGACUACUGAGGAGAAGGAACUAUCUGAAUUAAAACCAAAAUUUCAGGAACACAUUCAAGCCCCUAAGACAGUAGACGCGAUAAAAAGACCAAGCCCAGAUGAACCAAUGACAAAUUUGGAAUUAAAAAUAUCUGCCUCCCUAAAACAAGCACUUGAUAAACUUAAACUGUCAUCAGGGAAUGAAGAAAAUAAGAAAAGAAGACAAUGAUGAAAUUAAGAUUGGGACCUCAUGUAAGAAUGGAGGGUGUUCAAAGACAUAUCGGGGUCUAGAGAGUCUAGAAGAAGUCUGUGUAUAUCAUUCUGGAGUACCUAUUUUCCAUGAGGGGACGAAAUACUGGAGCUGUUGUAGAAGAAAAACUUCUGAUUUUAAUACAUUCUUAGACCAAGAGGGCUGUACAAAAGAGAAACAUGUGGACUAAAAAAGAUGCUGGGAAAAAAGUUGUUCCAUGUAGACAUGACUGGCAUCAGACUGGAGGUGAAGUUACCAUUUCAGUAUAGGCUAAAAAUUCACUUCCAGAACUUAGUCGAGUAGAAGCAAAUAGCACAUUGUUAGAUGCGCAUAUUGUAUUUGAAGGAGAGAAGGAAUUUGAUCAAAAUGUGAAAUUAUGGGGUGUGAUUGAUGUAAAGCGAAGUUAUUAACUAUGACUGCAACAAAGAUUGAAAUCACUAUGAGAAAA
RNAcentral lists this long non-coding RNA (1264 nucleotides) under Homo sapiens (human). RNAcentral's name for it is "novel transcript". Lineage: Eukaryota; Metazoa; Chordata; Mammalia; Primates; Hominidae. The record is from RNAcentral.